RNAcentral lists this unclassified non-coding RNA (244 nucleotides) under Hevea brasiliensis (rubber tree). The record is from RNAcentral. Lineage: Eukaryota; Viridiplantae; Streptophyta; Magnoliopsida; Malpighiales; Euphorbiaceae.
GAUCAACGGCUCAACUAAUCAUUUAUAUAAGCUCCGAAGAGUCCAGAUUUUGUUUUAUAGAAGCACUCGAGAAAAAUGGAAAACAAAACACUUGCAGAAGGAAAGGUUAGUCCUCCUCCCAAAAAUACCUGGAGCCACUGGUUCAUGUACUUCCAAUAUGACGAGGAGAACGAGAAGCCCAGUGAUGCCCGAAAUUUUUUGCUCGUGAUAGCGGCGCUAAUUGCUGCAGUGACCUUCCAAGCUG